AGGACCGCCUCCAGUUGAUAUUAUGCUUCCCCAGUAGUUGGUAAAGCUUUCCUUUAUUUUGAAGGCCAUCAACUAACUUGAAUGAAAAUACAAACAGGAUGUAACAUAAGAACCCCACAAUUCAUAGAAGCAUCGUAGAACAUCUCCAGAAACUUGAGUAACGUACGUGCCUUGUUCCAGUCAUCAAUGGUGGGAGCCCCUUCUGCAAGAGCAUUUAUAAAUUUUGGAUCAUCCUCUCAAAUGUAUUCUGAAGAGCCAGUAUGUUGAAUUCCAUCUUUAUGUCUUACAAUUUUGUGAUUUUUUUAUUGAUUUUAAUAUAUAUAUUUUUUAUCAUUUAGUAGUAGCCAAAAAUGUACA
Molecule: long non-coding RNA, 357 nt
Filed under: Gossypium raimondii (Peruvian cotton)
Lineage: Eukaryota; Viridiplantae; Streptophyta; Magnoliopsida; Malvales; Malvaceae
Description: long non-coding RNA (GRAI_LNC010980)
Source: RNAcentral